GCCUGAAUAGUUCAGUUGGUAGGACAUCCGACUUUUUAUCUGAGGCUCCAGGGUUCAAAUUCCUUUCAGGAA
This is a non-coding RNA of Alligator sinensis (Chinese alligator), 72 nucleotides long. The record is from Rfam. NCBI's taxonomy places the organism in Eukaryota, Metazoa, Chordata, Crocodylia, Alligatoridae.